GUGAAAAACAGAACUCAGACUUCUGUGAACAUUGAAAGCCACCAUGAAUCGUUUGGCACUUGCUCUGAUUCUCCUUGUUGCAGUAGCAGGAGUUAUUGGUGAAAGAGAUAGAACAGAAGAAGAAUUUGAAAGAUGUGGACCACGGCUAAAGGGAGUUUGUUUACAAAGUUACCACUGCCCCCUAGGUUGGACUGGAGUUGAUGGAAUAUGUGAUCGUCGUUCAAGGUGCUGCUUAAAAUCACCUGAUUUCACAAAUUGAGAAGAUGUGGAUUGAGCAAAUGGGUCUGAAACUGUCUGGCGAUAACAUAUUUACUGGAAACUGUUAAUGUGCUUAGUUUUUCUUACUUUUCAAAAGCUACGAUGUUUAAGGCAAAGAUUCUUAGUGCAAAACCAAAUUCAGUUGCCAUUAAUGUGAGUUAAUGAUUUAGAAUAAAUAACUAAAAUCCAAAUAUGGUUAUCUAGUUUCACAUCAGAUCAUUCAAUGUAAAUCAGAAACAUUCUGAUAUCCAAAUAUAGUAUUGUUUUUAACUCUUGUUUGUAGAUCCUUUUGCUAAUAAAAAUACUCAUUUACCAUCUCA
Long non-coding RNA from Protopterus annectens (West African lungfish), 578 nucleotides. RefSeq lists it as uncharacterized. NCBI's taxonomy places the organism in Eukaryota, Metazoa, Chordata, Ceratodontiformes, Protopteridae. The record is from RefSeq and is a predicted model, not a curated record. The transcript is spliced from 3 exons.